GGUGUUAUAGUGCAGUGGUAGCACGGUUAGCUUGCAGUAACCAGAAAAGUUGUAGGUUCAAUUCCCAGCUGCCACUA
RNAcentral lists this transfer RNA (77 nucleotides) under Alosa alosa (allis shad). Its description in RNAcentral is "tRNA-Ala". It matches the Rfam family "tRNA". From Rfam's summary of the family: Transfer RNA (tRNA) molecules are approximately 80 nucleotides in length. Their secondary structure includes four short double-helical elements and three loops (D, anti-codon, and T loops). The record is from RNAcentral. Lineage: Eukaryota; Metazoa; Chordata; Actinopteri; Clupeiformes; Clupeidae.